UCCGGCUUAUCACCGGCAGUCCCACUAGAGUGCCCAACUUAAUGAUGGCAACUAAUGGCGAGGGUUGCGCUCGUUGCGGGACUUAACCCAACGUCUCACGACACGAGCUGACGACAGCCAUGCAGCACCUGUGUCCAGGUUCCCUUUCGGGCACCCCCGCAUCUCUGCGGGGUUCCUGGCAUGUCAAGGGUAGGUAAGGUUCUUCGCGUUGCAUCGAAUUAAUCCACAUAAUCCACCGCUUGUGCGGGUCCCCGCCAAUUCCUUUGAGUUUCAACCUUGCGGUCGUACUCCCCAGGCGGGGUACUUCCUGCGUUAGCGCCGGCACCCAGAGGGUCGCUCCCCAGGCACCUAGUACCCAUCGUUUACGGCGUGGACUAC
This 378-nucleotide unclassified non-coding RNA is filed under the name uncultured bacterium. Its description in RNAcentral is "contains 16S-23S intergenic spacer region". The record is from RNAcentral.